Molecule: ribosomal RNA, 253 nt
Filed under: uncultured bacterium
Lineage: Bacteria
Description: partial 16S ribosomal RNA
Rfam family: Bacterial small subunit ribosomal RNA
Source: RNAcentral
UACGGAGGGCGCAAGCGUUGUUCGGAAUUACUGGGCGUAAAGCGCGUGUAGGCGGUCUGGUAAGUCGGUUGUGAAAUCCCCGGGCUCAACCCGGGAACUGCAUCCGAAACUUCCAGGCUAGAGUUUCGGAGAGGAAGGCAGAAUUCCCAAUGUAGGGGUGAAAUCCGUAGAUAUUGGGAGGAAUACCAGUGGCGAAGGCGGCCUUCUGGACGAUGACUGACGCUGAGAAGCGAAAGCGUGGGGAGCAAACAGG